RNAcentral lists this small RNA (65 nucleotides) under Sinorhizobium meliloti 2011. RNAcentral's name for it is "putative ncRNA". Lineage: Bacteria; Pseudomonadati; Pseudomonadota; Alphaproteobacteria; Hyphomicrobiales; Rhizobiaceae. The record is from RNAcentral.
AGACAACGCACCGAGAACGAAAUAUUUCAGGCCCGCUUCCGUCGAGCGGACGCUGUCGCGGUUGA